GCACAACAAGAAGAUAAGGCGGAUCAGAAAACCUGGAACUUGUGAAAUUGAAACCAAUUUGGUGGGAUUCAUAUAUUAUUUAGUCCACAUUCUACACAAGAUUCAUUUCAGCAUUUAACACUCAUCUAAAAAGACGGGGUACAUAGGCAUGCGAAAGAGAAGUAACAAAUGAUGAAUGGGUAGGACCAAGUUAACUUAGACAUAGACAACAUUUUAUCCAAAUACUUAGUCAAUAACGUCCCCCCGGAAGGCACUCAUAAGAUGAUAGUUAAAGGAAGAUUGUUUCAUACCUCAUAUAUGAAAUUACUAUUACUCUUAUAAUUUCAAGAAGACCAGUUUUUAAGGAACUUAUCCAUACCUGAUUUUCGAUAUAUGUGGUUAU
RNAcentral lists this unclassified non-coding RNA (382 nucleotides) under Hevea brasiliensis (rubber tree). Lineage: Eukaryota; Viridiplantae; Streptophyta; Magnoliopsida; Malpighiales; Euphorbiaceae. The record is from RNAcentral.